CCCAUAGGCCACUCCGCCGAUAUAAUACGCUGCAUCCGCGAACACUUAGGCCACCCGUGUCCCGGUUGGAGAGUUAGUGAGUAAGGUCACAUAAUUAUCCAAAGGGCCACGAGCGGCACCGUGUGGCCACUCCCGUACCGAGUUACACGGAGGGAGGGGGACAAAGAAUAUGAUACCGAGUCACAUUUCGUGACAGACCACGUAGGCAACACAGGCAAAGCAUGAGGUCCCAAUAACAUUUUUGGGUUCUACAAUGAGGAGAUGCAGUAACGACGGUUGGGUGCGCAAGGCACGGAGCCCGCCUUCACAAGCAAAUGUCAAGCAACUUAUGUGCCGACACGGUCAUUCUACCGUACAUCACCCCAUCGCCCAUAUGCAAGUCUAUAUCACAAGGAUA
RNAcentral lists this unclassified non-coding RNA (397 nucleotides) under Chamaecostus lanceolatus subsp. pulchriflorus. RNAcentral describes it as "partial external transcribed spacer". Lineage: Eukaryota; Viridiplantae; Streptophyta; Magnoliopsida; Zingiberales; Costaceae. The record is from RNAcentral.